Molecule: transfer RNA, 92 nt
Filed under: Bdellovibrio sp.
Lineage: Bacteria; Pseudomonadati; Bdellovibrionota; Bdellovibrionia; Bdellovibrionales; Pseudobdellovibrionaceae
Description: tRNA-Ser
Rfam family: tRNA
About the family: Transfer RNA (tRNA) molecules are approximately 80 nucleotides in length. Their secondary structure includes four short double-helical elements and three loops (D, anti-codon, and T loops). Further hydrogen bonds mediate the characteristic L-shaped molecular structure. tRNAs have two regions of fundamental functional importance: the anti-codon, which is responsible for specific mRNA codon recognition, and the 3' end, to which the tRNAs corresponding amino acid is attached (by aminoacyl-tRNA synthetases). tRNAs cope with the degeneracy of the genetic code in two manners: having more than one tRNA (with a specific anti-codon) for a particular amino acid; and 'wobble' base-pairing, i.e. permitting non-standard base-pairing at the 3rd anti-codon position.
Source: RNAcentral
GGAGAGUUGGCCGAGUGGCUGAAGGCGCUCGCUUGGAAAGCGAGUUUACCCGUUAAAAGGUAACGAGAGUUCGAAUCUCUCAUUCUCCGCCA